RNAcentral lists this non-coding RNA (558 nucleotides) under Fusarium oxysporum f. sp. cubense race 1. Its description in RNAcentral is "Eukaryotic small subunit ribosomal RNA". It matches the Rfam family "Eukaryotic small subunit ribosomal RNA", at positions 848 to 1428 of the family's 1831-position model. The record is from Rfam by way of RNAcentral. Lineage: Eukaryota; Fungi; Ascomycota; Sordariomycetes; Hypocreales; Nectriaceae.
UUUCUAGGACCGCCGUAAUGAUUAAUAGGGACAGUCGGGGGCAUCAGUAUUCAAUUGUCAGAGGUGAAAUUCUUGGAUUUAUUGAAGACUAACUACUGCGAAAGCAUUUGCCAAGGAUGUUUUCAUUAAUCAGGAACGAAAGUUAGGGGAUCGAAGACGAUCAGAUACCGUCGUAGUCUUAACCAUAAACUAUGCCGACUAGGGAUCGGACGGUGUUAUUUUUUGACCCGUUCGGCACCUUACGAGAAAUCAAAGUGCUUGGGCUCCAGGGGGAGUAUGGUCGCAAGGCUGAAACUUAAAGAAAUUGACGGAAGGGCACCACCAGGGGUGGAGCCUGCGGCUUAAUUUGACUCAACACGGGGAAACUCACCAGGUCCAGACACAAUGAGGAUUGACAGAUUGAGAGCUCUUUCUUGAUUUUGUGGGUGGUGGUGCAUGGCCGUUCUUAGUUGGUGGAGUGAUUUGUCUGCUUAAUUGCGAUAACGAACGAGACCUUAACCUGCUAAAUAGCCCGUAUUGCUUUGGCAGUACGCUGGCUUCUUAGAGGGACUAUCGGCU